Non-coding RNA from Styela clava, 1331 nucleotides. The record is from RefSeq and is a predicted model, not a curated record. NCBI's taxonomy places the organism in Eukaryota, Metazoa, Chordata, Ascidiacea, Stolidobranchia, Styelidae.
ACAAGCCACCUUUUUUCUACCAGUAGGCCUAUUCAAGAUGCGAAAACGGGUAUUACAUAAUAUAUUAUGUGACCUCAAAUUUUCUUUUACAGAGACCAAGUUUUAACAUUGUAUCCCGAAACUGAACGUCAGGUGGAUAUUAUUCGAAAGCUUGGAGAAAGAGAUGGCUUGGUUGAUUUCUGGAGUCCGGACAGCGGAGAUCUUGUUCGAGUGGAUAGUGCUGUAGACAUCCAGUUCCCAAGGGUACAAUUAGACGAACUGAAAGCUCUUAUGGACAACAAUGAAAUUGAAUACAAGAUAAAAAUCCACGAUGUGCAAAGUCUGAUCGAGAAUCAGGUGAAAGGACGAAAGGACGCAAAGAGGUCAUUGACCCACAAUUACAACGUUUAUCACCCGCUCGAAGAGAUAUAUGAGUGGGUUGAUGAUAUAGCAAAUGAAUAUCCGGAUCUCGUGACGAAAUCAAUUCUUGGAAACUCAUACGAGGGAAGAGAAAUUCCGAUGCUUACUAUCACGAAAGACAUAAACAAUCCCGUUGUUUUCAUAGAUUGUACUUUUCAUGCAAGAGAAUGGAUAAGGUCCUGCCGUCUGUCAGUGUUUCACUAGAAAUCUUCUGCAAGGAUAUGGAAAGGAUCCGAUCUUCACCAGACAUUUAGAUAGAUUGACGUUUUACGUCAUACCGGUUGUAAAUGUGGAUGGUUAUGCUUACUCAUGGCUCGAGAAUCGUAUGUGGAGAAAAAACCCGUUCGAAUUAUGGUACGAUAUGUGACGGAGUCGAUCCAAACAGAAACUUCAAACGCAAUUUUGGGGGCCAAGGUUCAUCUGGAACCUUGCGAUAAUACCUACAGAGGGCCUGCGAUGGAUCAUGAAAUUGAAGAUCCAUAACUGGGCGGAGCAUUUGCGAUCAGUUGCAAACAAGACUAUGAUAUACUUGAGUUUCCACAGCUAUUCUCAAUUGAUCGUUUUGCCGCAUUCCUAUACGUUCGAUAUAACUCCCACCAUCGAUGUUUUAGAGAAAUACGCCAAGCAAGCGGCUACUGCAUUAGGAGAAGUUUUUGGAACAGUGUACACAUAUGGACAGGGAUCAAGCAAUCUUUACUUAGUUUCUGGAGGAUCAAAGGACUACGCGUACGACAUAGGAAUCCCCUGGACCUGCACCUUUGAAUUACGAGAUACCGGAUACCACGGAUUCUUGCUACCGGAAGAGCAGAUUGAGCCAAGUUGCGUCGAAACUACAGGCCGCUGUGAAAGAAACUUUCUGAUGCGGCACUGGAAUGUGGUACAACAGAAACCUGUGAAGUAUUCACAUUCUCGCUAUAGCUUCGAUUUACAAU